AGCAGCCGCGGUAAUUCCAGCUCCAAUAGCGUAUAUUAAAGUUGUUGCAGUUAAAAAGCUCGUAGUUGAAUUUCGGGAUCAGUUGGUCGGUCGUGCCUCGGUACGUACUGGUCAAAUUGAUUCCUACCUUCUGACGAACCGCGAUGUCAUUAAUUUGGUGUCGCGGGAAAUCAGGACUGUUACUUUGAAAAAAUUAGAGUGUUUAAAGCAGGCUCGCGCUUGAAUACAUUAGCAUGGAAUAAUGAAAUAGGACGUUUGAUUCUAUUUUGUUGGUUUCUAGGAUCGACGUAAUGAUUAAUAGGGAUAGUUGGGGGCAUUAGUAUUCAAUUGUCAGAGGUGAAAUUCUUGGAUUUAUUGAAGACUAACUACUGCGAAAGCAUUUGCCAAGGAUGUUUUCAUUAAUCAAGAACGAAAGUUAGGGGAUCGAAGACGAUCAGAUACCGUCGUAGUCUUAACCAUAAACUAUGCCGACUAGGGAUCGGAUGAUGUUAAUUUUUUAAUGACUCAUUCGGCGCCUUAC
This 520-nucleotide unclassified non-coding RNA is filed under the name uncultured Glomus. RNAcentral describes it as "SSU rRNA". It matches the Rfam family "Eukaryotic small subunit ribosomal RNA", at positions 569 to 1091 of the family's 1831-position model. The record is from RNAcentral. Lineage: Eukaryota; Fungi; Glomeromycota; Glomeromycetes; Glomerales; Glomeraceae.